Molecule: long non-coding RNA, 1842 nt
Organism: Anolis carolinensis (green anole)
Lineage: Eukaryota; Metazoa; Chordata; Lepidosauria; Squamata; Anolidae
Exons: 2
Source: RefSeq, a predicted model, not a curated record
GGGUGUUUGAUGGUGUGUUCCUCUCCAUGGCCCAUCCUCCCAACAACUGAAAUGACACAAAAUCCUAAAAAGCAUCAGAUACAUUAAAAAUUAACUAGGUAUUUUUAAUUACAAAAAUGUGAGUCAAGCACUGAAGGGGUUUAAUAAACUAGUGUCAGCCUGAGGAGAGCGAGUAGGCCAAAGCCAGCUAGAAUUAGUGGGCCAAAGCUAGUGUCAGCCUGAGGAGGGUGAGUAGGCCGAAGCCUGUUAGAGUUAGUGGGCCAAAGCUAGUGUCAGCCUGAGGAGAGCGAGUAGGCCAAAGCCAGCUAGAAUUAGUGGGCCAAAGCUAGUGUCAGCCUGAGGAGAGCAAGUAGGCCGAAGCCUGUUAGAGUUAGUGGGCCAAAGCUAGUGUCAGCCUGAGGAGAGUGAAUAGGCCAAAGCCAGCUAGAAUUAGUGGGCCAAAGCUAGUGUCAGCCUGAGGAGGGUGAGUAGGCCGAAGCCUGUUAGAGUUAGUGGGCCAAAGCUAGUGUCAGCCUGAGGAGAGCGAGUAGGCCGAAGCCAGCUAGAAUUAGUGGGCCAAAGCUAGUGUCAGCCUGAGGAGAGUGAAUAGGCCAAAGCCAGCUAGAAUUAGUGGGCCAAAGCUAGUGUCAGCCUGAGGAGAGCGAGUAGGCCGAAGCCUGUUAGAGUUAGUGGGCCAAAGCUGGUGUCAGCCUGAGGAGGGUGAGUAGGCCGAAGCCUGUUAGAGUUAGUGGGCCAAAGCUAGUGUCAGCCUGAGGAGAGCGAGUAGGCCAAAGCCAGCUAGAAUUAGUGGGCCAAAGCUAGUGUCAGCCUGAGGAGUUUUAGAACACCAGUGUGAGAAGCUUCGGUGAGAGAAGCUCCAGCGUGAAGGCUACUGUGUGUAAAGCUAAUGUGAGAGAAGCUCCAGGUUGAAGGCCUCAUAUGUGAAACUCCAGUGUAAAGGCUGUUGUGUAUAAAAGCUACUGUGUGGAACUCCUGUGUAAAUUCGGCAUAAGAGGAGGCUCUGUGAGACCAAAGCUGUUUAUCUCAAUGAGAAAGAAGCCCAGCAUGGAAGUAAAGAAGGAAAUACGGUAGAGUCUCAUUUAUCCAACAUUCGUUUAUCCAAUGUUCAGGAUUAUCCAAUGCAGUUUGCCUCCUGCCCGGAUCCACAGUUGUUUCUCUAGACAGCAAGGAUUGAACUUUUUAUGGAUUUAAUUUCCAACAACGUUGUUACUAUAUGACAUCACAGAAAUCUAACAUCGAAAACAACACCAUGGAACAGCAAAAAGCGUAUGGAUCGAGAUCAACGUACAACAGAAACCUAUAAUGAUAGAAUCACAGAACCACAGAGUUGGUCGAGAGCCCAAGGGCCCUCCAGUCUAAUCCUAUUCUGCCAUGAAGGAGCACACAAGCAAAGCACUCCAAUAGAUGGCCAUCCAGCCUUUGUUUAAAAACUUCCAGAGAAGGAGACUCCAUUGCACUCUGAGGCAACAUAUUCCAGUUGAAUAGCUAUUACUGUCAGGAAGUAUUUUCUAAUGUUUAGGUGGAAUCUAAAUAUUGUCAACCAUUGUCAACCAUGAGAAGUGCAAUGCCUGCAUGUUACCCUUAAAUAUGGAUUUUCCCAUUUGUUGCUCUGUUAGUGUAACCCUUAAGUGAGCAAGUCAAUCCUUGGCGUGACACACAGAAUUAGCUGGCAAUCAUUAGGCUGAAGCAAGUCUUAAACAUCUCAGCGGGAAUUUCAUUCCAGUAAACACUGUGUCGCUACAAAUGCAAUAUGGUUAUUGGAAAAUUAAAGCAAAACGUCUCCCCUUGUACUAUUCAAACACUUGGAAAAUAUUCUCAGAAUUAAAAAUUGCACAGCAGUUA